This 5693-nucleotide long non-coding RNA is filed under the name Ananas comosus (pineapple). Its description in RNAcentral is "long non-coding RNA (ACOM_LNC038165)". Lineage: Eukaryota; Viridiplantae; Streptophyta; Magnoliopsida; Poales; Bromeliaceae. The record is from RNAcentral.
GUUACGCCCUAACAGUAUAAAUUUGCAACGAGCACUUUUUCUCAUUUUAUCGAAGAAAGCAUUAAACCUAAUUAUAUUGUAAUAUUAUGCCCAGAGGGUGUAAAUUUGGAACGAAUCGAUGUCAACGCUCACAAGAACAAAAACCGGAACAACAUUAGACUACUCAGUUGCGCCAUAACAGUAUAAUUUUGCAACGAGUGCUUUUCUCAUUUCAUCGAAGAAAGCGCAAAUCUAAUUAUAUUGUUCUAUUAUGCCCAGAGAGUGUAAAUUUGGAACGAAAUCGAUGUCAACGCUCACAAGAACAAAAACAGGAACAACAUUAGACUACUCAGUUGCGCCCUUACAGUAUAACUUUGCAACGAGUACUUUUUCUCAUUUUAUCGAAGAAAGCGUAAAACCUAAUUGUAUUCUUCUAUUAUGCCCAGAGAGUGUAAAUUUGGAACGAAUCGAUGUCAACGUUCACAAGAACAAAAACCGGAACAACAUUAGACUACUCAGUUGCGCCCUAACAGUAUAACUUUGCGACGAGUACUUUUUCUCAUUCUAUCGAACAAAGAGUAAAACAUAAUUAUAUUGUUCUAUUAUGCCCAGAGAGUGUAAAUUUGGAACGAAUCGAUGUCAACGCUCGCAAGAACAAAAACCGAAACAACUUUAGACUACUCAGUUGCGCAAUAACAGUAUAACAUUGCAACGAGUGAUUUUUCUCAUUUUAUCGAAGAAAGCGUAAAACCUAAUUAUAUUUUUCUAUUAUGACCAGAGAGUGUAAAUUUGGAACGAAUCGAUGUCAACGCUCACAAGAACAAAAAUCGGAACAACAUUAGACUACUCAGUUGCGCCCUAACAGUAUAACUUUGCAACGAGUACUUAUUCUCAUUUUAUCGAACAAAGCGUCAAACCUAAUUAUAUUGAUUUAUUAUGCCCAGAGAGUGUAAAUUUGGAACGAAUCAAUGUCAGCGCUCACAGGAACAAAAACCGGAACAACAAUAGACUGCUUAGUUGCGCCAUAACAGUAUAACUUUGCAACGAGUGCUUUUUCUCAUUUUAUCGAAAAAGCGCAAAUUUAAUUAUAUUGUUCUAUUCUGCCCAGAGAGUGUAAAUUUGGAACGAAUCGAUGUCAACGCUCACAAGAAAAAAAACCAGAACAACAUUAGACUACUCAGUUGCGACAUAACAGUAUAACUUUGCAACGAGUACUUUUUCUCAUUUUAUCGAAGAAAACGCAAAAUCUAAUUAUAUUGUUCUAUUAUGCCCAGAGAGUGUAAAUUUGGAACGAAUCGAUGUCAACGCUCACAUGAACAAAAAUCGGGACAACAUUAGACUACUGAGUUGCGCCCUAACAGUAUAAAUUUGCAACGAGACCUUUUUCUCAUUUUAUCGAAGAAAGCAUCAAACCUAAUUAUAUUGUUCUAUUAUGCCCAGACAGUGUAAUUUUGGAACGAAUCGAUGUCAACGCUCACAAGAAUAAAAACCGGAACAACAUUAGACUACUCAGUCGCGCCCUAACAGUAUAACUUUGCAACGAGUACUUUUUCUCAUUUUAUCGAAGAAAGCGUCAAACCUAAUUAUAUUGUUCUAUAAUGCCCAGAGAGUGUAAAUUUGGAACGAAUCGAUAUCAACACUCACAAAAAUAAAAACCGGAACAACAUUUGAGUACUCAGUUGUGCCUCUAACAGGUAUAACUUUUUGCAACCAGUACUUUAUUCUCAUUUUUUUGAAGUAAGCGGCCAAAACUAAUUUAUAUUGUAUUCUAUUUAGCCCCAGAGAGCUUGUAAAUUUCUGGAACGAAUUGAUGUCAACGCUCCACAAGAACAAAAACUGGAACAAAAUUAGGCUACUUAGUUGCGCCCUAACAGUAUAACUUUGCAACGAGUGCUUUUUCACAUUUUAUCGAAGAAAGCGUCAAACCUAAUUAUAUUGCUCUAUAAUGCCCAGAGAGUGUAAAUUUGGAACGAAUCGAUAUCAACACUCACAAAAAUAAAAACCGGAACAACAUUUGAGCACUCAGUUGUGUGCCCUUAACAGGUAUAACUUUUGCAACCAGUACUUUUUCUUCAUUUUAUCGAAAGUAAUGCGUCAAAACUAAUUUAUAUUAUGUCUCUUUUACGCCCAGAAGAGAGUAAAUCUGGAACGGAAUCGAUGUCAACGCUCACAAGAACAAAAACUGGAACAAAAUUAGGCUACUUAGUUGCGCCCUAACAGUAUAACUUUGCAACGAGUGCUUUUUCACAUUUUAUCGAAGAAAGCGUCAAACCUAAUUAUAUUGCUCUAUAAUGCCCAGAGAGUGUAAAUUUGGAACGAAUCGAUAUCAACACUCACAAAAAUAAAAACCGGAACAACAUUUGAGUACUCAGUUGCGCCUUAACAGUAUAACUUUGCAACCAGUACUUUUUCUCAUUUUAUCGAAGUAAGCGUCAAACCUAAUUAUAUUAUUCUAUUAUGCCCAGAGAGUGUAAAUUUGGAACGAUUCGAUGUCAACGCUCACAAGAACAAAAACCGGAACAACAUUAGACUCUUCAGUUGCACCCUAACAGUAUAACUUUGCAACGCGUACUUUUUCUCGUUUUAUCGAAGAAAGCGUAAAAUCUAAUUAUAUUGUUGUAUUAUGCCCAGAUAGUGUAAAUUUGGAACGAAUCGAUGUCAACGCUCACAAGAACAAAAACCGGAACAACAUUAGAGCACUCAGUUCCGCCAUAACAGUAUAACUUUGCAACGAGUGCUUUUUUUCAUUUUAUCGAAGAAAGCGUAAAACCUAGUUAUAUUAUUCUAUUAUGCCCAGAGAGUGUAAAUUUGGAACGAAUCGAUUUCAACGCUCACAAGAACAAAAACCGGAACAACAUUAGACUACUCAGUUGCGCCCUAACAGUAUAACUUUGCAACGAGUACUUUUUCUCAUUUAUCGAAGAAAGCGUCAAACCUAAUUAUAUUGUUCUAUCUUGCCCAGAGAGUGUAAAUUUGGAACGAAUCGAUGUCAAAGCUCACAAGAACAAAAAUCGGAUCAAUAUUAGACUACUCAGUUGCGCCCUAACAGUAUAACUUUGCAACGAGUGCUUUUUCUCAUUUUAUCGAAGAAAGCGUAAAUCUAAUUAUAUUGUUCUAUUAUACCUAGAGAGUGUAAAAUUGGAACGAACUGAUGUGAGCGCUCACAAGAACAAAAACCGGAUCAAUAUUAGACUACUCAGUUCCGCCCUAACAGUAUAACUUUGCAACGAGUACUUUUUCUCAUUUAUCGAAGAAAGCGUCAAACCUAAUUAUAUUGUUCUAUUAUGCCCAGAGAGUGUAAAUUUGGAACGAAUCGAUUUUAAAGCUCACAAGAACAAAAACCGGAACAAUAUUAGACAACUCAGUUGCGCCCGAACAGUAUAACUUUGCAACGAGUGCUUUUUCUCAUUUUAUCGAAGAAAGCGUCAAACCUCAUUAUAUUGUUCUAUUAUGCCGAGAGAGUGUAAAUUUGGAACGAAUCGAUGUCAACGCUCACAAGAACAAAAACCGGAACAACAUUAGACUCUUCAGUUGCACCCUAACAGUAUAACUUUGCAACGCGUACUUUUUCUCGUUUUAUCGAAGAAAGCGUAAAAUCUAAUUAUAUUGUUGUAUUAUGCCCAGAUAGUGUAAAUUUGGAACGAAUCGAUGUCAACGCUCACAAGAACAAAAACCGGAACAACAUUAGAGCACUCAGUUCCGCCAUAACAGUAUAACUUUGCAACGAGUGCUUUUUUUCAUUUUAUCGAAGAAAGCGUAAAACCUAGUUAUAUUAUUCUAUUAUGCCCAGAGAGUGUAAAUUUGGAACGAAUCGAUUUCAACGCUCACAAGAACAAAAACCGGAACAACAUUAGACUACUCAGUUGCGCCCUAACAGUAUAACUUUGCAACGAGUACUUUUUCUCAUUUUAUCGAAGAAAGCGUAAAAUCUAAUUAUAUUGUUCUAUUAUUCCCAGAUAGUGUAAAUUUGGAACGAAUUGAUGUCAACGCUCACAAGAACAAAAACCGGAACAACUUUAGACUACUCAGUUGCGCCUAACAGUAUAACUUUGCAACGAGUACUUUUUCUCAUUUUAUCGAAGAAAGCGUCAAAACUAAUUAUAUUGUUCUAUUACGCCCAGAGAGUGUAAAUUUGGAACGAAUUGAUGUCAACGCUCACAAGAACAAAAACUGGAACAAAAUUAGGCUACUUAGUUGCGCCCUAACAGUAUAACUUUGCAACGAGUGCUUUUUCACAUUUUAUCGAAGAAAGCGUCAAACCUAAUUAUAUUGCUCUAUAAUGCCCAGAGAGUGUAAAUUUGGAACGAAUCGAUAUCAACACUCACAAAAAUAAAAACCGGAACAACAUUUGAGUACUCAGUUGCGCCUUAACAGUAUAACUUUGCAACCAGUACUUUUUCUCAUUUUAUCGAAGUAAGCGUCAAACCUAAUUAUAUUAUUCUAUUAUGCCCAGAGAGUGUAAAUCUGGAACGAAUCGAUGUCAACGCUCACAAGAACAAAAACCGGAACAACAUUAGACUACUCAGUUGCGCCAUAACAAUAUAACUUUGCAACGAGUACUUUUUCUUAUUUUAUCGAAGAAAGCGUAAAUCCUAAUUAUAUUAUUCUAUUAUGCCCAGAGAGAGUAAAUUUAGAACCAAUCGAUGUCAACGCUCACAAGAACAAAAAUCGGAACAACAAUAGACUACUCAGUUGCACCCUAACAGUAUAACUUUACAACGAGUGCUUUUUCUCAUUUUAUCGAAGAAGGCGUCAAACCUAAUUAUAUUGUUCUAUUAUUCCGAGAAAGUGUAAAUUUGGAACGAAUCGAUGUCAAAGCUCACAAGAACAAAAACCGGAACAAUAUUGGACUACUCAGUUGCGCCCUAACAGUAUAACUUUGCAACGAGUGCUUUUUCCCAUUUUAUCGAAGAAAGCGUAAAUGCUAAUUAUAUUGUUCUAUUAUGCCCAGAGAGUGUAAAUUUGGAACGAACCGAUGUCAGCGCUCACAAGAACAAAAACCGGAACAACAUUAGACUAAUCAGUUGCGCCCGAACAGUAUAAUUUUGCAACGAGUGAUUUUUCUCAUUUUAUCGAAGAAAGCGUCAAACCUAAUUAUAUUGUUCUAUUAUGCCCAGAGAGUGUAAAUUUGGAACGAAUCGAUGUCAACGCUCACAUGAACAAAAAUCGGGACAACAUUAGACUACUGAGUUGCGCCCUAACAGUAUAAAUUUGCAACGAGACCUUUUUCUCAUUUUAUCGAAGAAAGCAUCAAACCUAAUUAUAUUGUUCUAUUAUGCCCAGACAGUGUAAUUUUGGAACGAAUCGAUGUCAACGCUCACAAGAAUAAAAACCGGAACAACAUUAGACUACUCAGUCGCGCCCUAACAGUAUAACUUUGCAACGAGUACUUUUUCUCAUUUUAUCGAAGAAAGCGUCAAACCUAAUUAUAUUGUCUAUUAUGACCAGAGAGUGUAAAUUUGGAACGAAUCGAUGUCAACGCUCACAAGAACAAAAACCGGAAGAAAAUUAGACCACUUAGUUGCGCCCUAACAGUAUAACUUUGCAACGAGUACUUUUUCUCAUUUUAUCGAAUAAAGCGUAAAACCUAAUUAUAUUGUUCUAUUAUGCCCAGAGAGUGUAAAUUUGGAACGAAUCGAUGUCAACGCUCACAAGAACAAAAACCGGAAUAACUUUAGACUACUCAGUUGCGCCAUAACAAUAUAACUUUGCAA